AUGCUUCUCAUCCAGCACCCUCCACGAGUGAGAGGCACUCCUUGCUUUCUCUCCUCACAGCACAGACCUCAUUCACAGGAUCAAGUCACAGUCGUUUCCCCCACGAGGCAACAGCUGCACAGCGUUAACCACAAAGCCUCGUUGCACAGCCACGUGCAGCCCAACACCUGUGGUGCUCCUGACCACCACCAGCCCGCUUACAAACAUCCCGCCUGCAGGAGCCACCAGAGAACCGCUGGCUAUCAGCACCCCACAGGAGCCCGGCUGAGGCAACAGCGGCAUUACAUAACCGCGUACGGAGAGCGGCCGCGGUUACGCGAUGCAGAUGAGCGGCGGCGUCGAUUCGGCAGAUCGCCCUGCGCGCGUGUGAGGGGCAGCGCGGCCGUGCGGUGCCGUUUUAGAAGAAUAGCUUCUGCCCAAGAAUUAGAAUUGUUGGAAUAAUAUGCGAACAG
RNAcentral lists this long non-coding RNA (452 nucleotides) under Phasianus colchicus (ring-necked pheasant). RNAcentral describes it as "lncRNA (ENSPCLG00000001666.1)". The record is from RNAcentral. Lineage: Eukaryota; Metazoa; Chordata; Aves; Galliformes; Phasianidae.